AAAGACAAUGAGAGAGGACCACUUUUCUUCGAAUUAGUGGGAAAGGAUAGAUAGAUAAUUAUGAGCAUGUUUUAAUAAAACGGCACAUAAAAGAGAAGACACGCAGCAUUUACUGACUUGUAGAAUAACGACUUCAGUAGAUUACUACAUCUCCAGCUAAAACAAGGAAACCAUAGCAGCGCAGAUUUUAAACUGAAUGACACUGAACAACAAUUUAAUUGAGUGCUUUAUUUUUCUUUCAGGUGGAAUAGUAAACCAUUGAAGAACUUAUCACCUCAAAAUUGUGUGGCUCAAUUGAGAAUUGCGUGAGGACCUCCUGAGCUUUCUGUCGCCCUUUGAAGCCAUCAUCAUGAUCGUUGAAGCUCAGCAGCACAAGGUCUUUACAAACGUGGAUCGCCUACUGAGGACUACAAAUCCAUCUUCAACGCUACCAUACUAAGGCCAAAUCACUCACACCCAGAGAACCAAACAAGAAGAUCCAAUUGCAAAUCACAAGACUAGGUAAGAGCCACUUAAAUCCAGCCCCAAGGUCUUACAAGGAUAUCAUAGAGGACAAUAAGCUUAAUUAACAUACUUGCUACAAAAUAUGUAAUUGUAAAACGCUAGCAACAAUAGUAAAGCUAUCGAAACAGAAAUUCUGCGCAAGAUCGCAGUAAUGGAUUGACAAGCUAUAUCUAAAUAAACAAAACUCGUGCUCAUGUUUGCUCUGUAAAAUAAUAACAUGAGAUGCGUGCGUUGGAUAAUGAAAUAACUUGGAACGAAUGUUACCUGCAAUAACGGGGUGGUGCAAUGGAAUAAAAGCUUGAGUGCAAGGAAAGCAUACUGUUUAAUAUAGAAUAGAAGGUAAGCCCUGAUAUCAUAAUUUCCAGUGUCUUUGUUUUUUAUGUACUCUGUGAUGUGUGACUGCCAGUUUCAAGUGCUGAAACAUGUUUUAGUAGAAUUCUCUUAAUAGCCCAUAUUACCAAGAUGAAUAUUUGAUGGGAGCAGAUAGUGAUGAACAAUGAGAACCCAGAUUACAAAUUCAUGAUCUUGCUAACGACUGAUUCUACGUGAAGGGGCAUGUGACUACAUGAUUCUAAGUGCAGGAAAAUCGAAUUGAGGAUAUAGGAUAUAAGUAGGAGAAUACCUUCGGGUCACCGUCAUAAAUUGCAAUAUCGUGCCAUGGAUGAAUUGAUUGCUAGCUGGAGUCGGGGCCGCGCUUUAGCCAUGGAUUGUAAGGCAAAGAGAAGAGAAAGCGGGACACAGAGACUAGAGGGGAGAACCCGGGAAAUCCCCGUGCGAUCUCCCCUCCAAACACGAAAAUGAUAAUUUUAUUAAGAUAGUGGUUGACCUGCCAUGCAAGCGCACCUGUCAUGGCAAAGGUCGGAUGACAAAGAUAAUAAACAAGACCUUGGCCUCUUGGCCUUCUGGUCCCGAUAUAUAUCUUAUACAUCAUCCUCAUAAAUAAAUCGAACACCAACACCAGCAUCAUCUCCUUCCUGUCCUUCUCCACCAACAAAUUACACAUAACAUGCUACACCACAGCUCACAUAACCAAUCUUCAGCCAUGUCUACAUCCAGCAACACGUUCAGCGGAUUCUGUAACUGCUUACAACACCACCUGCAGAAAAAAUCUCAAAUCAUCUUCUGCUUUCCGCCAACAACCAAACUUAAAUAUUGCUAAAAUUCCUCAUGAUCGAAGAAAGCAUGGCCGGAAGGGACAGAUCCGCUUAAUAUUUGAGCUAUCGAAACAGAGCCGCGCCACAUCUACAGAACAAAAUUAGAUUUACGCGGAUUAAUGACUUGAUCAAUAACCAAUAGACAGAUAUUCAAUCAGAUCUAGCUUAGGAACGUAAACAAAACACUUAUACAUAC
RNAcentral lists this long non-coding RNA (1854 nucleotides) under Populus trichocarpa (black cottonwood). RNAcentral describes it as "long non-coding RNA (PTRI_LNC001932)". The record is from RNAcentral. Lineage: Eukaryota; Viridiplantae; Streptophyta; Magnoliopsida; Malpighiales; Salicaceae.